This 844-nucleotide ribosomal RNA is filed under the name Salmonella enterica subsp. enterica. RNAcentral describes it as "partial 23S ribosomal RNA". It matches the Rfam family "Bacterial large subunit ribosomal RNA", at positions 1 to 888 of the family's 2925-position model. Lineage: Bacteria; Pseudomonadati; Pseudomonadota; Gammaproteobacteria; Enterobacterales; Enterobacteriaceae. The record is from RNAcentral.
GUUAAGCGACUAAGCGUACACGGUGGAUGCCCUGGCAGUCAGAGGCGAUGAAGGGCGUGCUAAUCUGCGAUAAGCGCCGGUAAGGUGAUAUGAACCGUUAUAACCGGCGAUACCCGAAUGGGGAAACCCAGUGUGAUUCGUCACACUAUCAUUAACUGAAUCCAUAGGUUAAUGAGGCGAACCGGGGGAACUGAAACAUCUAAGUACCCCGAGGAAAAGAAAUCAACCGAGAUUCCCCCAGUAGCGGCGAGCGAACGGGGAGGAGCCCAGAGCCUGAAUCAGCAUGUGUGUUAGUGGAAGCGUCUGGAAAGGCGCGCGAUACAGGGUGACAGCCCCGUACACAAAAGCGCAUGUGCUGUGAGCUCGAUGAGUAGGGCGGGACACGUGGUAUCCUGUCUGAAUAUGGGGGGACCAUCCUCCAAGGCUAAAUACUCCUGACUGACCGAUAGUGAACCAGUACCGUGAGGGAAAGGCGAAAAGAACCCCGGCGAGGGGAGUGAAAAAGAACCUGAAACCGUGUACGUACAAGCAGUGGGAGCACCCUUCGGGGUGUGACUGCGUACCUUUUGUAUAAUGGGUCAGCGACUUAUAUUCUGUAGCAAGGUUAACCGUAUAGGGGAGCCGCAGGGAAACCGAGUCUUAACCGGGCGUUAAGUUGCAGGGUAUAGACCCGAAACCCGGUGAUCUAGCCAUGGGCAGGUUGAAGGUUGGGUAACACUAACUGGAGGACCGAACCGACUAAUGUUGAAAAAUUAGCGGAUGACCUGUGGCUGGGGGUGAAAGGCCAAUCAAACCGGGAGAUAGCUGGUUCUCCCCGAAAGCUAUUUAGGUAGCGCCUCGUGAA